Molecule: ribosomal RNA, 253 nt
Filed under: uncultured bacterium
Lineage: Bacteria
Description: partial 16S ribosomal RNA
Rfam family: Bacterial small subunit ribosomal RNA
Source: RNAcentral
UACAGAGGUCUCAAGCGUUGUUCGGAUUCAUUGGGCGUAAAGGGUGCGUAGGCGGUGAGGCAAGUUGGAUGUGAAAUCCCGGGGCUUAACCCCGGAACUGCAUUCAAUACUGCCUUGCUAGAGUACUGGAGAGGAGAUUGGAAUUCACGGUGUAGCAGUGAAAUGCGUAGAUAUCGUGAGGAAGACCAGUGGCGAAGGCGAAUCUCUGGACAGUAACUGACGCUGAGGCACGAAGGCUAGGGGAGCAAACGGG